Molecule: non-coding RNA, 73 nt
Organism: Propithecus coquereli (Coquerel's sifaka)
Lineage: Eukaryota; Metazoa; Chordata; Mammalia; Primates; Indriidae
Source: the annotation of a RefSeq genome assembly
GUUUCUGUAGUGGAGUGGUUAUCACAUUCGCCUCCCACGCAAAAGGUCCCUGGCUCGAAGCCAAGCAGGAACA